CACAGUUCAGAAAACUUGUUUAAUAAACUUAUGUAUAUUUUUUCAUAACUAACAUGGUAUUUCUUUGCUUUUGUUUUCAGUUAGUAAAGUGGCAAGUGAUGCGAGUUGAAAUAUUGCUGAAUUUUAUGGUUACUGUAAGUAAUGCUGAUUAGUAUACUAGUGGCAAGUGAUGUGGAUUGAACUGAUGCUGAAUUCUAUGGUUGCUGUAGGUGAUGCUGAUUAAACUGUCCCUGGAUUACAAGGGUAAGCGUGUUGUAAUGGAUCUUUGUACAUUUUUUCAUUACCUAUUCAGUAUUCAGUGUUUCAUUUUGUUUGCUUUGUUUUUAGUUGAGGUGGUAAAUUAUGUAAGGAACAAACCGUCUUUGGAUUCAAAGGGUACGUGAUGAACCUUGAUGGAAA
This is a long non-coding RNA of Planococcus citri (citrus mealybug), 399 nucleotides long. RefSeq lists it as uncharacterized. The transcript has 3 exons. The record is from RefSeq and is a predicted model, not a curated record. Lineage: Eukaryota; Metazoa; Arthropoda; Insecta; Hemiptera; Pseudococcidae.